CCCUUAGAUGUUCGGGGCCGCACGCGCGCUACACUGAAGGAAUCAGCACGUCUUUCUCCUUGUCCGAAAGGACUGGGUAACCCGCUGAACCUCCUUCGUGCUAGGGAUUUGGGCUUGUAAUUCUUCCCCAUGAACGAGGAAUUCCCAGUAAGCGCGAGUCAUAAGCUCGCGUUGAUUACGUCCCUGCCCUUUGUACACACCGCCCGUCGCUACUACCGAUUGGAUGGUUUAGUGAGAUCCUCGGAUUGGUCCCGGAGCGGCCUCUGGUCGUGCCGGAGUGCCGAAAAGAAUGUCGAACUUGAUCAUCUAGAGGAAGUAAAAGUCGUAACA
RNAcentral lists this ribosomal RNA (330 nucleotides) under uncultured eukaryote. RNAcentral describes it as "partial 18S ribosomal RNA". It matches the Rfam family "Eukaryotic small subunit ribosomal RNA", at positions 1470 to 1796 of the family's 1831-position model. The record is from RNAcentral.